GUAGGGAAUAUUGCGCAAUGGGGGAAACCCUGACGCAGCAACGCCGCGUGAGUGAGGAAGGUCUUCGGAUUGUAAAACUCUUUUGUUAGGGAAAAAUGGACCAGUAACUAAUAGCGCUGGUUUUGAUGGUACCUAAAGAAUAAGCACCGGCUAACUUCGUGCCAGCAGCCGCGGUAAUACGAAGGGUGCAAGCGUUGUUCGGAAUCAUUGGGCGUAAAGCGCGCGCAGGCGGAUCAGUAAGUCAGGUGUGAAAUCUCGAAGCUCAACUUCGAAACUGCGCCUGAAACUACUAGUCUAGAAUGUCGGAGGGGGCAGGGGAAUUUCACGUGUAGGGGUAAAAUCCGUAGAGAUGUGAAGGAACACCGGAGGCGAAGGCGCCUGCCUGGACGACUAUUGACGCUGAGGCGCGAAAGCGUGGGGAGCAAACAGGAUUAGAAACCCUAGUAGUCC
This 450-nucleotide ribosomal RNA is filed under the name uncultured bacterium. Its description in RNAcentral is "bacterial SSU rRNA". It matches the Rfam family "Bacterial small subunit ribosomal RNA", at positions 354 to 796 of the family's 1533-position model. The record is from RNAcentral.